CUUAAUCCGAGACGUGGGGGGGGUGCUACCAUGCAAGUCGAACGGAAUCCGCAAGGAUUUAGUGGCGGACGGGUGAGUAACGCGUGAGAAUCUGCCUACAGGAGGGGGACAACCACUGGAAACGGUGGCUAAUACCCCAUAAGCCGAGAGGUAAAAAGGAAUCCGCCUGUAGAGGAGCUCGCGUCUGAUUAGCUAGUAGGUGAGGUAAGAGCUUACCUAGGCGACGAUCAGUAGCUGGUCUGAGAGGAUGAGCAGCCACACUGGGACUGAGACACGGCCCAGACUCCUACGGGAGGCAGCAGUGGGGAAUUUUCCGCAAUGGGCGAAAGCCUGACGGAGCCAGACCGCGUGAGGGAAGAAGGCCUUUGGGUUGUAAACCUCUUUUCUCAGGGAAGAAGAAAGUGACGGUACCUGAGGAAUCAGCCUCGGCUAACUCCGUGCCAGCAGCCGCGGUAAUA
This 458-nucleotide ribosomal RNA is filed under the name uncultured Anabaena sp. Its description in RNAcentral is "bacterial SSU rRNA". It matches the Rfam family "Bacterial small subunit ribosomal RNA", at positions 33 to 525 of the family's 1533-position model. The record is from RNAcentral. Lineage: Bacteria; Bacillati; Cyanobacteriota; Cyanophyceae; Nostocales; Nostocaceae.